AGGGCACCACCAGGAGUGGGGCCUGCGGCUUAAUUUGACUCAACACGGGGAAACUUACCCGGCCUGGACACUGGAAGGAUUGACAGAUUGAGAGCUCUUUCUUGAUUCAGUGGGUGGUGGUGCAUGGCCGUUCUUAGUUGGUGGAGCGAUUUGUCUGGUUAAUUCCGAUAACGAACGAGACUCUAGCCUAUUAAAUAGGCUCCCGGCUUUUAAACGCCGGGAGGACUUCUUAGAGGGACAGGUGGCGGUUCAGCCGCACGAAAGAGAGCAAUAACAGGUCUGUGAUGCCCUUUGUUGUCCGGGGCCGCACGCGCGCUACACUGAAGAGAUCAGCGUGCUUUAUGUUCCUGCUCCGACCGGAGUGGGGAACCCAGUGAACCUUCUUCGUGAUUGGGAUAGAAGAUUGUAAUUAUUCUUCUUGAACGAGGAAUUCCCAGUAAAUGCGAGUCAUAAGCUCGCGUUGAUUACGUCCCUGCCCUUUGUACACCCCGCCCGUCGCUACAACCGAAUUGAACGAUA
RNAcentral lists this ribosomal RNA (519 nucleotides) under uncultured eukaryote. RNAcentral describes it as "SSU rRNA". It matches the Rfam family "Eukaryotic small subunit ribosomal RNA", at positions 1161 to 1699 of the family's 1831-position model. The record is from RNAcentral.